RNAcentral lists this ribosomal RNA (1248 nucleotides) under Cuban papaya phytoplasma. Its description in RNAcentral is "bacterial SSU rRNA". It matches the Rfam family "Bacterial small subunit ribosomal RNA", at positions 153 to 1399 of the family's 1533-position model. RNAcentral also lists the same sequence under 5 other names. The record is from RNAcentral. Lineage: Bacteria; Bacillati; Mycoplasmatota; Mollicutes; Acholeplasmatales; Acholeplasmataceae.
GAAACGACUGCUAAGACUGGAUAGGAAGAUAAAAGGCAUCUUGUAUCUUUUAAAAGACCUAGUUAAUAGGUAUGCUUUAGGAGGGGCUUGCGCCAUAUUAGUAGUUGGUAGGUAAUGGCCUACCCAGACGAUGAUGUGUAGCUGGACUGAGAGGUUGAACAGCCACAUUGGGACUGAGACACGGCCCAAACUCCUACGGGAGGCAGCAGUAGGGAAUUUUCGGCAAUGGAGGAAACUUCUGACCGAGCAACGCCGCGUGAAUGACGAAGUACUUCGGUAUGUAAAGAUCUUUUAUCGAGGAAGAAAAGCAAAUGGCGAACCAUUUGUUUGCCGGUACUUGAUGAAUAAGCCCCGGGCUAAUUAUGUGCCAGCAGCCGCGGUAAGACAUAAGGGGCAAGUGUUAUCCGGAAUUAUUGGGCGUAAAGGGUGCGUAGGCGGUCUAGUAAGUCAGUGGUGUAAUGGCAACGCUUAACGUUGUCCGGCUAUUGAAACUGCUAAACUUGAGUUAGAUAGAGGCGAGUGGAAUUCCAUGUGUAGCGGUAAAAUGCGUAAAUAUAUGGAGGAACACCAGAGGCGUAGGCGGCUCGCUGGGUCUUAACUGACGCUGAGGCACGAAAGCGUGGGGAGCAAACAGGAUUAGAUACCCUGGUAGUCCACGCCGUAAACGAUGAGUACUAAGUGUCGGGUUAAACCGGUACUGAAGUUAACACAUUAAGUACUCCGCCUGAGUAGUACGUACGCAAGUAUGAAACUUAAAGGAAUUGACGGGACUCCGCACAAGCGGUGGAUCAUGUUGUUUAAUUCGAAGAUACCCGAAAAACCUUACCAGGUCUUGACAUGUUUUUGCAAAAUGAUAGUAAUAUCGUGGAGGUUACCAGAAACACAGGUGGUGCAUGGUUGUCGUCAGCUCGUGUCGUGAGAUGUUAUGGUAAGUCCUAAAACGAGUGAAACCCUUAUCGUUAGUUGCCAGCACGUUAUGGUGGGGACUUUAACGAGACUGCCAAUGAUAAAUUGGAGGAAGGUGAGGAUCACGUCAAAUCAGCAUGCCCCUUAUGACCUGGGCUACAAACGUGAUACAAUGGCUGUUACAAAGGGUAGCUGAAACGCAAGUUCUUGGCCAAUCCCCAAAAACAGUCCCAGUCCGGAUUGAAGUCUGCAACUCGACUUCAUGAAGUUGGAAUCGCUAGUAAUCGCGAAUCAGCAUGUCGCGGUGAAUACGUUCUCGGGGUUUGUACACACCGCCCGUCA